RNAcentral lists this signal recognition particle RNA (299 nucleotides) under Aotus nancymaae (Ma's night monkey). RNAcentral describes it as "Metazoan signal recognition particle RNA (ENSANAG00000010097.1)". It matches the Rfam family "Metazoan signal recognition particle RNA". From Rfam's summary of the family: The signal recognition particle (SRP) is a universally conserved ribonucleoprotein. The record is from RNAcentral. Lineage: Eukaryota; Metazoa; Chordata; Mammalia; Primates; Aotidae.
GUCGGGCGCGGUGGUGGGUGCCUUUAGUCCCGGCUACUCGGGAGGCUGAGGUGGGAGGAUCCCUUGAGCCUAGGAGCUCUGGGCUGUAGUGCGCUAUGCCGAUGGGGUGUCCGCACUAAGUUUGGCAUCAAUAUGGUUACCUCCCGGGAGCGGAGGACCACCAGGUUGCCUAAGGAGGGGUGAACCGGCCCAGGUUGGAAAUGGAGUAGGUCAAAACUCCCAUGCUGAUCAGUAGUGGGAUUGCGCCUGUGAAUAGCCACUGCACUCCAGCCUGGGCAACAUAGCGAGACCCUGUCUCU